AGUGAACGCUGGCGGUAGGCCUAACACAUGCAAGUCGAACGGCAGCACAGUAGGAGCUUGCUCUUACGGGUGGCGAGUGGCGGACGGGUGAGGAAUACAUCGGAAUCUACUUUUUCGUGGGGGAUAACGUAGGGAAACUUACGCUAAUACCGCAUACGACCUACGGGUGAAAGCAGGGGAUCUUCGGACCUUGCGCGAUUGAAUGAGCCGAUGUCGGAUUAGUUAGUUGGCGGGGUAAAGGCCCACCAAGGCGACGAUCCGUAGCUGGUCUGAGAGGAUGAUCAGCCACACUGGAACUGAGACACGGUCCAGACUCCUACGGGAGGCAGCAGUGGGGAAUAUUGGACAAUGGGCGCAAGCCUGAUCCAGCCAUACCGCGUGGGUGAAGAAGGCCUUCGGGUUGUAAAGCCCUUUUGUUGGGAAAGAAAAGCAGCAGGUUAAUACCCCGCUGUUCUGACGGUACCCAAAGAAUAAGCACCGGCUAACUUCGUG
This 492-nucleotide ribosomal RNA is filed under the name uncultured bacterium. Its description in RNAcentral is "partial 16S ribosomal RNA". It matches the Rfam family "Bacterial small subunit ribosomal RNA", at positions 29 to 507 of the family's 1533-position model. The record is from RNAcentral.